Non-coding RNA from Oryctolagus cuniculus (rabbit), 1645 nucleotides. Lineage: Eukaryota; Metazoa; Chordata; Mammalia; Lagomorpha; Leporidae. The record is from RefSeq and is a predicted model, not a curated record.
UCCUCUUCCAAUCCAGCUCCCUGCUAAUGCGCCUGGGAAAGCAGUGAAGGACAGCACAAGUCCUUGGGCCCCUGCAUCUAAGUGGGAGGCCUGGAAGAAGCUCCUGGCUCCUGGCUUCAGAUUGGCUCAGCCAUGGCCGUUGUGGCCUUUUGGGGAGUGAACCACAGGAUGGAAGAUUUCUCUCCCACUCUCUACUCUCUCUGUAACUCUUUCAAAUAAGUAAAAUAAAUCUUUUUUAAAAAUCACACGGUAAUGAUUCUUGCCAGUAACAGCCUCUUGUAAAACCAGUGGGCAAGCUGGCACCGCAGCUCACUAGGCUAAUCCUCCGCCUUGCGGCGCUGGCACACUGGGUUCUAGUCCCGGUCGGGGCACCGGAUUCUGUCCCAGUUGUCCCUCUUCCAGGCCAGCUCUCUGCUGUGGCCCGGGAGUGCAGUGGAGGAUGGCCCAAGUCCUUGGGCCCUGCACCCCAUGGGAGACCAGGAGAAGUACCUGGCUCCUGCCAUUGGAUCAGCACGGUGCGCCGCCCACAGCGCGCCGGCCGCGGCGGCCAUUGGAGGGUGAACCAACGGCAACGGAAGACCUUUCUCUCUGUCUCUCUCACUGUCCACUCUGCCUGUCAAAAAAAAAAAAAAAAAAAAAACCAGUGGGCAAAGUUUGAGGAUAAAUUAAGAUAUUUGCAUGAUCUCAAAGUAUUUCCCCCAAGACAGCUACCAAUUACAAAGGGGAUCAUUUCUCCCCCCUGGAGAAAUCCUGCAGCUAGCACUCACGAUUCCUGUGAGCAGCAGCGUGAUCCACUGGCACUGUGCAUCCCUGACUUGCUAGGGAAGAACAUAUAAUUAUGCAAACGCGUACCUCACUCUAACCUUGAGCAAACAAGCCCAGAUGGAUGGAUAUUCUACAAAAUAACUGUCCAGCUCUCUCUCAAAGUGUCAAAGGCAUGAACUACAAAGAUGGAGGCAAUGUCACAGAAUGGAGGAGACAGAGGAGACCCUCGGCGGACACUGGAACAGACUGUGCUGGGAAAACUGAAUGUGAGAGUGCGUGGGUCACAGAAGACGACGGGGCAGUGGAAGAGCAGGAAAAGGAGACUAAGGCCUGAUGACAUCAUAUCAUCUCCUGGAACAAGAUCAGGCUCCACUAGGGGAGGUAGCUGAGGUGAAGAGGAAGCAUACGUGGCCCGAGAGAUCCUGCUUGCCCACACACUCGCCAGGAGCGGGAGUCGAGGGUGGGGAGGAGGGAGGGUUCCUGCAGCCUCCUACCUCACCUGAGACCUGGCCGGUGAGCUCAUGCCGCAGGAUCAUUUUGCCAAGUUUAAAAACAGAACUAUUUUCAUCAGAAAAAAAAAAGGACUGGGGAGGAUACAGGGAAACAUGAACUCUUAUGACCCGCUGGCAGGAGUGUAACUGGAUAUGUGCUCUCUGGAGAUCAAUUUGGCAGUAUCUCACAAAACUGAAGGUAAGGAUACCCCACUGGUCAGUGUCCAAGUCCUAGACACAAACCUCCACAAGGCACGAGGGAACAUGUCAAGCAUUUCACUACAGCACUGUUGAUGACAGUCAAAAAUUUAAAGUGAAAAUAUCCAUCGACAAGACAACAGGUAAACUGUGAUAUGUUCAUUCAAUGGAUUACAGCUCUUAAAAUGAAC